CCUACGGGCGGCAGCAGUGAGGAAUAUUGGUCAAUGGGCGCGAGCCUGAACCAGCCAAGUAGCGUGAAGGAUGACUGCCCUACGGGUUGUAAACUUCUUUUAUAAAGGAAUAAAGUGAGGCACGUGUGCCUUUUUGUAUGUACUUUAUGAAUAAUGAUCGGCUAACUCCGUGCCAGCAGCCGCGUUAAUACGGAGGAGCCGAGCGUUAUCCGGAUUUAUUGGGUUUAAAGGGGGCGUAGAUGGGUUGUUAAGUCAGGUGUGAAAGUUUGCGGCUCAACCGUAAAAUUGCAAUUGAUACUGGGAGUCUUGAGUACAGUUGAGGUAAGCGGAAUUCGUGGUGUAGCGGUGAAAUGCUUAGAUAUCAAGAAGAACUCCGAUUGCGAAGGCAGCUUACUAAACUGCCACUGACAUUGAUGCUCGAAAGUGUGGGUAUCAAACAGGAUUAGAUACCCCUGUAGUC
Molecule: ribosomal RNA, 460 nt
Filed under: uncultured bacterium
Lineage: Bacteria
Description: partial 16S ribosomal RNA
Rfam family: Bacterial small subunit ribosomal RNA
Source: RNAcentral